RNAcentral lists this ribosomal RNA (254 nucleotides) under uncultured bacterium. RNAcentral's name for it is "partial 16S ribosomal RNA". It matches the Rfam family "Bacterial small subunit ribosomal RNA", at positions 524 to 776 of the family's 1533-position model. The record is from RNAcentral.
UACGUAGGGGGCUAGCGUUGUCCGGAAUCAUUGGGCGUAAAGCGCGUGUAGGCGGUCCGGUAAGUCCGCUGUGAAAGUCGGGGGCUCAACCCUCGGAUGCCGGUUGAUACUGUCGGGCUAGAGUGCGGAAGGGGCAAUCGGAAUUCUUGGUGUAGCGGUGAAAUGCGUAGAUAUCAAGAGGAACACCUGAGGUGAAGACGGGUUGCUGGGCCGACACUGACGCUGACAGCGCGAAAGCCAGGGGAGCAAACGGG